UGAACGGAGAAGUACGACCGAAAGGACGUGUGGAGAUCAUGGAAGAGAGAAUGCCGGUGUGAGUAGCGGAACGUGGGUGAGAAUCCCACGCACCGAAAACCCAAGGUUUCCAGAGGAAGGUUCGUCCGCUCUGGGUAAGUCGGGACCUAAGGCGAGGCCGAAAGGCGUAGUCGAUGGACAACAGGUAGAGAUUCCUGUACCCGUAUAUAUGUGAAGGAAUGACGGAGAGAGGAAGCUGCAGCCAGCGGCUGGAAGAGCUGGUG
RNAcentral lists this ribosomal RNA (263 nucleotides) under Escherichia coli. RNAcentral's name for it is "partial 23S ribosomal RNA". It matches the Rfam family "Bacterial large subunit ribosomal RNA", at positions 1244 to 1512 of the family's 2925-position model. Lineage: Bacteria; Pseudomonadati; Pseudomonadota; Gammaproteobacteria; Enterobacterales; Enterobacteriaceae. The record is from RNAcentral.